CGAAAGCCUGACGGAGCAACGCCGCGUGAGGGAGGAAGGCCUUAGGGUUGUAAACCUCUUUUCUCAGGGAAGAAAAAAAUGACGGUACCUGAGGAAUAAGCAUCGGCUAACUCCGUGCCAGCAGCCGCGGUAAUACGGAGGAUGCAAGCGUUAUCCGGAAUGAUUGGGCGUAAAGGGUCCGCAGGUGGCAUUGUAAGUCUGCUGUUAAAGAGUCACGCUCAACGGGAUAAAAGCAGUGGAAACUACAAAGCUAGAGUAUGGUCGGGGCAGAAGGAAUUCCUGGUGUAGCGGUGAAAUGCGUAGAUAUCAGGAAGAACACCGGUGGCGAAGGCGUUCUGCUAGGCCAAAACUGACACUGAGGGACGAAAGCUAGGGGAGCG
Molecule: ribosomal RNA, 380 nt
Filed under: uncultured cyanobacterium
Lineage: Bacteria; Bacillati; Cyanobacteriota
Description: bacterial SSU rRNA
Rfam family: Bacterial small subunit ribosomal RNA
Source: RNAcentral